AUACGGAGGAUCCGAGCGUUAUCCGGAUUUAUUGGGUUUAAAGGGAGCGUAGGUGGAUUGUUAAGUCAGUUGUGAAAGUUUGCGGCUCAACCGUAAAAUUGCAGUUGAAACUGGCAGUCUUGAGUACAGUAGAGGUGGGCGGAAUUCGUGGUGUAGCGGUGAAAUGCUUAGAUAUCACGAAGAACUCCGAUCGCGAAGGCAGCUCACCGGGCCGGAACUGACACUGAUGCUCGAAAGUGCGGGUAUCAAACAGGAUUAGAUACCCUGGUAGUCCGCACAGUAAACGAUGAAUACUCGCUGUUUGCGAUACACUGUAAGCGGCCAAGCGAAAGCGUUAAGUAUUCCACCUGGGGAGUACGCCGGCAACGGUGAAACUCAAAGGAAUUGACGGGG
Molecule: ribosomal RNA, 393 nt
Filed under: uncultured bacterium
Lineage: Bacteria
Description: partial 16S ribosomal RNA
Rfam family: Bacterial small subunit ribosomal RNA
Source: RNAcentral